Molecule: long non-coding RNA, 487 nt
Organism: Xenia sp. Carnegie-2017
Lineage: Eukaryota; Metazoa; Cnidaria; Anthozoa; Malacalcyonacea; Xeniidae
Exons: 2
Source: RefSeq, a predicted model, not a curated record
AAACGCGUGGCAAUUUUUUUGUGCGCAUGCGUUAGGUCCGCCAUUCACUUUGGCCAGUUUGCGGUUUCGGAAUAAUAGUCGCCUCGUACGUAAAACAUUUAGGAAGAUCAUGAAAGAUUGCGACAAAACGUGAUAAAAACAAGUUGCUAGCCAAGUGAUUGCUUGAUUCUAAAGUUAGGAUUGUGUUGCAAGUGACUUGUACUGUGUAUUAUUUCAUCCAAAGACCAACAGUGCUGGUAUUUUUAACAAUGAAGUUAUUUAAUUUUUAAAUAAAAUGUAUAGACUGGUAUUAUGUAUUCUAUAUUCUGUAAAUUCUACUGCAUAAUAUACUCACAUUUUAAAUUCAAACUGUUUUGUGAUUGUUAAAGCUUUUAUACACAGUAUUGAUCAUCAAGGGCAAAGACCUGUUUUUGGACCUGUAAUCAGUGUAAAAUGAAUAUAGUAAAGUAAAAUUUUUAUUUUUUUAAUAUAUUUUUACAACUCAGAA